Peromyscus maniculatus bairdii (prairie deer mouse) is the source of this 104-nucleotide small nuclear RNA. The record is from Ensembl. Lineage: Eukaryota; Metazoa; Chordata; Mammalia; Rodentia; Cricetidae.
GUACUCGCUUUGGCAGCACAUAUACUAAGAUUGGAAUGAUACAGAGAUUAGUUUGCCCCCUGAACAAGGAUGACAUGCAAAUUCGUGAAGAGUUCCAUAUUUUU